UCCAGGUUAUCCCUGGCGGUCUCCUGCGAGUUCCCAACUGAAUGAUGGCAACACAGGACAAGGGUUGCGCUCGUUGCGGGACUUAACCCAACAUCUCACGACACGAGCUGACGACAGCCAUGCAGCACCUCGACUGGACCCCCUUGCGGGGUAGUAAUGUUUCCACCACCGUUGACCAGCCGUUCGAGCCCAGGUAAGGUUCUUCGCGUUGCGUCGAAUUGAACCACAUGCUCCACCGCUUGUGCGGGCCCCCGUCAAUUCCUUUGAGUUUCAGCCUUGCGACUGUACUCCCCAGGCGGCAUAUUUAACGCGUUAGCUCCGGCACGGAUCAACUGAAUGACCCACACCAAAUAUGCAUCGUUUAGGGCGUGGACUAC
This 377-nucleotide unclassified non-coding RNA is filed under the name uncultured Bryobacterales bacterium. RNAcentral's name for it is "contains 16S-23S intergenic spacer region". The record is from RNAcentral. Lineage: Bacteria; Pseudomonadati; Acidobacteriota; Terriglobia; Bryobacterales.